This 19-nucleotide small nuclear RNA is filed under the name Arabidopsis thaliana (thale cress). RNAcentral's name for it is "snRNA_09687". The record is from RNAcentral. Lineage: Eukaryota; Viridiplantae; Streptophyta; Magnoliopsida; Brassicales; Brassicaceae.
GAUUAAGACAGCAGGACGG